This is a long non-coding RNA of Heterocephalus glaber (naked mole-rat), 1924 nucleotides long. The record is from Ensembl. NCBI's taxonomy places the organism in Eukaryota, Metazoa, Chordata, Mammalia, Rodentia, Bathyergidae.
GGAAGUCUGAGUGACUGGAAUGGGAUGGGGAGGUGGGGGGGACAGAGUCUCACUCUGUAGUUCAGUCUGGCCUUGAACUCACUAUGUGUAGCCCAGGCUGGCCUCGAACUUGUGUCGAUCUUCCUGUCUCAGCCUCCUGAGUGCUGGGCUUGUAGGCCUGUGCUACCAUGCCCAGCUAUCAGAUUUUACUUUGAAUGAGGUUUUUAUGUGAAAUUGGAUCUUGUCAGAUUCAAAUGUAAGAUAUAAUGAAUUUUUUGAGUCAGCAUCUGUCUUUAUUAAGCUGUUCUCAUUUUACAUAAAUUUUGGUUUUUGUGAUAAGAACAGACGUCUUAAGGAAGGACUUGCUUGAUUUCAGCUUUUUUGUUGCCCUGGUUGCUGUGGAAAACUCUCGAGUUAGAGAACUCCGAACCAAGAGGAGUUUCGGCUUUUAGCAGAUUAUUGGUACUGCCAAGACAGAAUUUAGUGGGAACAGGACUUUGGCUACUGUUAAAAUGUCACUAUAGUAAAGCCUGCUCUGUCAAACAGAUUUUUGGCAUCGGAAGUCCAAAUGAUACUGAUUUUAGGGGGUUGAGGUUUUGUUUUUUUUUUAACUCAGGCAAACUCAUGAUUUAAUUAACCCUUUACACAGUAACAGAAAAUGUGGAAAAAAUUUUGUUUUCCUAAUUUAGGUCACAAGAUGUGAGUUUCUGAAAUUCUAAUUUUUUUUCAUGAUUCUAAAACUACGCAGCUUGUUACUUAAUUCCCCUCCAAAUAAACUGGAGCUAUUUAAAAACCUGAUGAGUGACAAAGAAUAACUGAGGAAAGUGUCUAAUCAUUCAGGGAGCCAACUUCCAAAUCCAACAAACCAAUAGUAUCGGUUUAAGUUUGAGCAUCUUGAGACUUGAUGUCAGAGGUGGAUUUGGGGGAAUACUGUGAUACAGCAUACACAUUGCCUACAGGUGCCCUUAGCUUUGUCUGAAAUAAUCUCCCUUGGGGCAACAGGCCUGGAGCCAGAUUUGUUAGAGUCGCUCUUUGAAUGUCCAGCGAGAGUAGAAAUGUCAAGUGUAUAAGCUCCAGCGGAUCUUUUCAUUCUUCCUGUAAGGUUCCUGAUUCAAUCUCAUUUGUCAGUAACAAUUUUUAUUAUUGUGGAUACACAGUGUCAUUUGGAAAAAAAUGUUUGGAUAAUCAGAGGGAUAUAAGGCAGAUAAGUGAAAAAUCCAUCAGGAAGAGAGGUGUUUUAAAAAUUACAAAAGCAAAUCCUUAUUUUCUUCAGGACUUGAAUUAGAUGUUGGAAGGUAAACAUCAAUAUUCAGCGUCACCAACUAAAAUGCCAUUGUCUGCCAUAUUUGGUUUUCUGUGUAUUCACAUUUGGUCUUUUGCAGUUAUUCCUACAGAAGGGUACAGGGGUAAAGUUAAAUAUCAGUUAGUGGCACCUGAUUUAAAUUAUGUACAGGAGACCAUUUUUGUUAAGACUCUCCUGAGAAUGGACAUGGCUAGAAUGUUAAAUGUAGAAAGCCUGCUUGCUGGUUACACUGAGAGUUCUGGCUCCUCUGGCCUAGUCGGGUCAUCCAGGUCAGUGUUCUUUGAAAUAAUUUUGUUUUGAGUUAAAUAAGGGUACUCCUUAAUUUGUGAGGUUCUCUGAGGAUUACACACUUAUAGGAGGAGCCUACUGAAUACCAGUGGUUAUGGUGAUGGUGAGUAGUUGUGAUAAUAAUUUUGCAUUUUUGGUAAGAAAGCAUUUCAUCUGGAAUUUGUAAGCUUGUUUCACAGUAUGUAUGGCAUAUAUAAUCAGCAACCUCUCCAUGACUUUACCACUAAACCUGAUCAUGUACAUUAGCCUAGGUGAGGGUUUUUUUCCAAAUAAUUUCUCCCAUCACAAAUUGGUAGUAAAUACAAAAUAGUUUGUAAAAAAAGGAAAAACCUCAACCAUUAAGAUAUCUUCCCC